Molecule: small nuclear RNA, 87 nt
Filed under: Aotus nancymaae (Ma's night monkey)
Lineage: Eukaryota; Metazoa; Chordata; Mammalia; Primates; Aotidae
Description: U4 spliceosomal RNA (ENSANAG00000002993.1)
Rfam family: U4 spliceosomal RNA
About the family: U4 small nuclear RNA (U4 snRNA) is a component of the major U2-dependent spliceosome. The structure of U4 snRNA from yeast and human has been reported. U4 snRNA presents a k-turn RNA motif in the 5p-SL related to recognition of Snu13 protein.
Source: RNAcentral
AGCUUUGUGCAGUGGCAGUUUCGUAGCCAAUGAGGUUUAUCCAAGGCGCGAUUAUUGCUAAUUGAAAAUUAUGAUUUUCCUAAUUUA